AAGUCGUAACAAGGUUUCCGUAGGUGAACCUGCGGAAGGAUCAUUAUCGAAAGCUGUAGAUGUGGUUGUGCUGGCUCUCCGGAGUAAUGUGCACGCCCGUCUCACUCUCACCUUCAUUCAACUGUGCACUUUUGACGGAUGGGAUAUCUUUCCGCAAUUCGAUUGUGGGUUUGGGGGUCAAGCGUUCAUUCGCGUUUUCCCCUGCUUUCCCAUCCGUAACCCCCCUCACACACACUUUAAAAAUUUAACCUAGAAUGUCUGAUUGACCUUUAUUGUGUCUUAAUCUUUAAUACAACUUUUAACAACGGAUCUCUUGGCUCUCGCAUCGAUGAAGAACGCAGCGAAAUGCGAUAAGUAAUGUGAAUUGCAGAUUUCAGUGAAUCAUCGAAUCUUUGAACGCACCUUGCGCCCUUUGGUAUUCCGAAGGGCAUGCCUGUUUGAGUGUCAUUAAAUCAUCAACCACACCUGCCUUUGUGUCGUGUGUCGGCUUGGUUUUGAGGGUUUGCGGGCUCCUUAGCAGAGUCGGCUCCCUUUAAAUGUAUUAGCGAGGACUCCGUCCGCUGACCGUCUCUGGCGUGAUAAUUAUCUAGUCAAAGGCGAGAAUGUGAUGGCUUGCUUCUAAUCGUCUCGAGAGAGACCGCGAAGUGACUUUAAACCGGCCAGCUUCAUCUUGACUUUGACCUCAAAUCAGGUAGGACUACCCGCUGAACUUAAGCAUAUCAAUAAGCGGAGGAAAAGAAACUAACAAGGAUUCCCCUAGUAACUGCGAGUGAAGCGGGAAGAGCUCAAAUUUAAAAUCUGGCGGUCCUCGAGGCCGUCCGAGUUGUAAUUUAGAGAAGUGUUACCCACGCUGGACCGUGUACAAGUCUCCUGGAACGGAGCGUCGUAGAGGGUGAGAAUCCCGUAUAUGACACGGACUACCAGGGUUUUGUGGUGCGCUCUCGAAGAGUCGAGUUGUUUGGGAAUGCAGCUCAAAAUGGGUGGUAAAUUCCAUCUAAAGCUAAAUAUAGGCGAGAGACCGAUAGCGAACAAGUACCGUGAGGGAAAGAUGAAAAGAACUUUGGAAAGAGAGUUAAACAGUACGUGAAAUUGUUAAAAGGGAAACGCUUGAUGUCAGUCGCGUCUUCCGGGGAUCAGCCUUGCUCUUUUGCUUGGUGCACUUCCCGGCGGAUGGGUCAGCAUCGAUUUUGACCGACGGAAAAAGUGCUUGGGAAUGUGGCAGCCUCGGCUGUGUUAUAGCCCUUGUUCGUAUACGUCGGUUGGGAUCGAGGAACUCAGCACGCCGCAAGGCCGGACUUUUAGUCACGUACGUGCUUAGGAUGCUGGCAUAAUGGCCUUAAUCGACC
This 1346-nucleotide ribosomal RNA is filed under the name uncultured fungus. Its description in RNAcentral is "eukaryotic LSU rRNA". The stretch from base 678 to 1346 matches the Rfam family "Eukaryotic large subunit ribosomal RNA", at positions 1 to 649 of the family's 3401-position model. Lineage: Eukaryota; Fungi. The record is from RNAcentral.